Cicer arietinum (chickpea) is the source of this 327-nucleotide non-coding RNA. Lineage: Eukaryota; Viridiplantae; Streptophyta; Magnoliopsida; Fabales; Fabaceae. The record is from RefSeq and is a predicted model, not a curated record.
GUUUAAUUAUUUACAACGCUUUGUUCGUGCAUCUUCCAUAUGAGGCUAUAAAAAGGCAACGAGGGCAAUGGUUCUCUCAAGUUCACUAUUAUGCAAAAGGAUGAAUAAGAUGAAGUUGAGUUGAGAGAAGACACGACAAGGAGAGCAGCUCGAGCCCAUCCAUCAUCUUCAGCAACAAGUUCCUAGACAUACAUACAUGUCUCCCACACACCCCUUGCUUGCAAUUACCAAUAUAUCCUCAUUUAUUCACUUCCGUAAAAUAAGAUACCAAUGUUUUUCUUCUAUGUAGUCUUUUAUUUUUCAUUUAUAGAUCGGUUAAUUAAUUAA